Molecule: transfer-messenger RNA, 254 nt
Filed under: Veillonella sp.
Lineage: Bacteria; Bacillati; Bacillota; Negativicutes; Veillonellales; Veillonellaceae
Description: partial transfer-messenger RNA
Rfam family: transfer-messenger RNA
About the family: Bacterial tmRNA, also known as 10Sa RNA or SsrA, is named for its dual tRNA and mRNA-like properties. Its role is to liberate the mRNA from a stalled ribosome.
Source: RNAcentral
AACGCAGAAGAAAAUUUUGCAUUAGCUGCAUAAGCUACGUCCCUCAUACUUGUGCCUACCAAGUGUGAAUGGACGUCAAACAGUAGGCUGGUCUAAUUUAGUUGUUCAUAUGAAUUAGGCGAGACAAUAUGAACUGGGGUUGUGUAGCUUGUCUGUGAGCGAUAGCAACCCGAGAUCUCAAUCAUAGACUGUGCUCGGAGAAGUCUAUAUGGCAACACUCUUGGACAGGGGUUCGACUCCCCUCAUCUCCACCA